CAUCGCUGUUGUUUACAUUUGACGAGAUGCUAACGCUAAUGCUGCACUGACCCUCCUACUGAACGCCCGAAAUGAACAGCAGCGGGCCUGCUGCUAUGAUUUUCACAUCAUAGCUGGGGACUUUAAUCACACAAAUCUAAAGACUGCGCUCUCAAAGAUCAAUCAAAUUGUCAAAAUUGCCCAAGCAGUCAUCCCCAACUGUCUGAAAUCGUCUGUAAUCAUUCCAAUUGCGAAAAAGACACCCACGAACAGUCUUAAUGAUUAGCGACCUGUUGCCCUCGUGCCUGUCAUUAUGAAGUGCUUUGAGGCUGAUUCUGAAGCACAUCACUGAAUGUUUCCCUCAGAACCGAGACUCCCAUCAGUCCCAAUAGACCCACAGCGGAUACCAUCGCAAUGGACACUGUCCUGAGCCACCCGGAACAACAGUAGAGCUACGCCAGGAUGGUUCUUUGUGGAUUAAAUCACCAAACUAGGCAUCCUGGGCCUCCAUCCUUCAAACUGCAUCGAGGACUUUUUGACCAACAGACACCAGACUAUGACACAACAGUGGUUGGUCUUAUCUCAAGGGGAAACAUGGCAGACUGCAGGGAGGAGGUCCAGAAGUUGGACCUAGGAGAUCGUUGCGGAAUUUAAGAGGAACAGAACUGUAACAUCUCCCACUCACAUCAACGGCGAGAGAGUGGAGGAAGCACACACAUUCAGGUUCCAGGGAGUCCUGAUCUUUUAGGACCUUUCUUGGACAGAAAAGAUCUCGCCGGCCUUCGAGAAGGCGAGCAGUGUCUUCACUCCCCUUAGAAUCCUCCUGAAAAAUAAAAUGCAAU
Hippocampus zosterae (dwarf seahorse) is the source of this 821-nucleotide long non-coding RNA. RefSeq lists it as uncharacterized. The record is from RefSeq and is a predicted model, not a curated record. The transcript is spliced from 2 exons. Lineage: Eukaryota; Metazoa; Chordata; Actinopteri; Syngnathiformes; Syngnathidae.